CAUCCUUCAGAGCUGCACGGGGAUGUGAAGUCACAGGCUGCUCCAAGCCAAGGUUUGUUCUCCUGCACAACUAGCAGUGAAACCCGAAGCUGCUCGCUGCGGCACAUAUCCUCCUCAUUAAAAGGCUUUCCCAUUACGCAUAACUCUAUUGCAUGAAGUCCUUUGGCAGCCCAAUUGAUUAAAUCCCUUUGAAAUCAUCUCUGUUACAACAUAUCUAUGCUGCUGAGAGCAAGGAGGAGGAGUGGAAGACUUGCCUAUGUUAUAAACUUAAAGGCUGCCUUGCAAAGCAGCAGAAAGACCAGAGAAUAAGCAAAGGGCAAGCAUGGAUGGGGUCUGAAUGCUGAUACCAUUCAAGGACAGAGUCAGGUUCAGACUGAAGAUGAGCCAAACUGAUGAUGAUCUCCUCAACUUUGCCCACCCAAAGGGCGAUACUGGCUGGAGCACACACCACAGAGGGCAUGAGAAGAGCCAAUGCCUGCUGGCAGAGACAGCCUGUCCUCAGGAAAAGAGCCCCACAAGAGGGUCAGCACCCCGUAUUUUUGUUUUUCUAGCCACCCUGUCCAAUCAGCCACACUGUCUUCAAGUGCUGAGGGUAAGGACUGAGAAAUAAACCUGCUCUGACAGAUGUGUGGCAGAUUUUCUUCAUGAUUAAUUGGUAUAAGGGACAACCCAUUGCCACAGCAACUUUGUUGAAAGCUCUUUCUCCCAGCAAACCUCGAGGACUUGGGACUCGGCCAUGCACAUUUACAGAAGCCACUGGUUUCUCAUAAAUAAGACUGAAGAGAAUUUGUUGCAGGAACUGUCUCUGAAAAAUGUAACCAAGUUUACAAUUUGAAGAGCUUUUAUGAUUUUUUUUUAAUUAUUUUUUUAAUGAAUCCAUACAUCAUAUGUCUGACAUUGUUUGUACUCUGUGGGCAGCUUGUAAGAAGCCAGCAAGAAUUGGCUGGUUUUCCACACACAGUUGCCCCACUGUGCUCCACAGCACCCCUGCACUCUUCAGAAGGCACCUCCCCUUUGAAAAUGUGUUUCCUCUCAUGUAACACAACCAAAAAGACCCUCAUUGCAUCUAUUUUCAUGAGCUAACAUUCAGAGCACAUGCAAAUAUGCUGGAGAGAAAACAAGAUUUUAGGGGGUCAAAGCGAAAGAAGUGGACACUAAAAACUUUCUGGGGACUGAGGCCUGUAUGGCAAACAUAAUGUGCCACGGGGUGUAUGACAGCACUUUCUGAGAAGGAAAAAACACCAACAAAAUGGAAGAGUCUUCUGAAGAGAUGAGGGAAUUCAUGUAUUUGCCCCGUGUAGUUUGUGUCAAUUUUCCCACUUGUAAACAAGUGAUUUUGUGCCUCAAGACAGAAGGAAACACGGGGAGAAACCCACUGCCUUAACCAAACCCCACAUCUCACAAGUCCAACAAAUAAAGACUCCAAGAAAUAAAGUUUUAAAGUGAAAACGGUUCUCUUCAACUUCACAGAACCCAAAAAUGUGCCUCUGAGUGUUCAGAGACUCUGCAUGAAACAAAAAGGAGAGUUCAUCCUUCGGGAGAAUAAUGGAAAGAGAAAAAUAGAGAACUUCUAAGCUGCCUUUGCUCCAGCACCCCCUAACCAG
RNAcentral lists this long non-coding RNA (1604 nucleotides) under Gallus gallus (chicken). The record is from RNAcentral. Lineage: Eukaryota; Metazoa; Chordata; Aves; Galliformes; Phasianidae.